RNAcentral lists this signal recognition particle RNA (91 nucleotides) under pig gut metagenome. RNAcentral's name for it is "Bacterial small signal recognition particle RNA". It matches the Rfam family "Bacterial small signal recognition particle RNA". Rfam says of the family: The signal recognition particle (SRP) is a universally conserved ribonucleoprotein involved in the co-translational targeting of proteins to membranes. Archaeal SRP consists of a 7S RNA and homologues of the eukaryotic SRP19 and SRP54 proteins. The record is from RNAcentral.
UGGGUCGCCUCGCAUCGCGAGACAAUGAACCUGGUCAGGGUCGGAAGACAGCAGCCACAGUUGUUAUAACGAGUGCCGAGGGUUUGGCUCA